GGGUCAGUCACGGUCACGGGCGGACUGCCUGCCGCCCAGGUCAAGGCCGUAGUCCUCGAAGAUCAGACCGAUUUGCAAGCAGGAAGUCAGGAGUUCGAAUCUCCUAGGCUCCA
Molecule: transfer RNA, 113 nt
Filed under: Nonomuraea rubra
Lineage: Bacteria; Bacillati; Actinomycetota; Actinomycetes; Streptosporangiales; Streptosporangiaceae
Description: tRNA-OTHER
Source: RNAcentral